AAACCAACAGGGAUUGCCUUAGUAGCGGCGAGUGAAGCGGCAAAAGCUCAAAUUUGAAAUCUGGCACUUUCAGUGUCCGAGUUGUAAUUUGAAGAAGGUAUCUUUGGGUCUGGCUCUUGUCUAUGUUUCUUGGAACAGAACGUCACAGAGGGUGAGAAUCCCGUGCGAUGAGAUGUCCCAGACCUAUGUAAAGUUCCUUCGAAGAGUCGAGUUGUUUGGGAAUGCAGCUCUAAGUGGGUGGUAAAUUCCAUCUAAAGCUAAAUAUUGGCGAGAGACCGAUAGCGAACAAGUACAGUGAUGGAAAGAUGAAAAGAACUUUGAAAAGAGAGUGAAAAAGUACGUGAAAUUGUUGAAAGGGAAGGGCUUGAGAUCAGACUUGGUAUUUUGUAUGUUACUCUCUCGGGGGUGGCCUCUACAGUUUACCGGGCCAGCAUCAGUUUGAGCGGUAGGAUAAGUGCAAAGAAAAUGUGGCACUGCUUCGGUAGUGUGUUAUAGUCUUUGUCGAUACUGCCAGCUUAGGACUGAGGACUGCGGCUUCGGCC
This 542-nucleotide ribosomal RNA is filed under the name Lodderomyces parapsilosis. RNAcentral's name for it is "Candida parapsilosis partial large subunit ribosomal RNA". It matches the Rfam family "Eukaryotic large subunit ribosomal RNA", at positions 62 to 613 of the family's 3401-position model. Lineage: Eukaryota; Fungi; Ascomycota; Pichiomycetes; Serinales; Debaryomycetaceae. The record is from RNAcentral.